UAGUAUAUGUACUGCCGAAGCGAGUACAUGCAUGGCCCCUGCGCAACGAUCACACGCAAAAUCGUGAAGCGUUCCACAUUUUUGACGAAGCGAAAGAAUUAUGUAAGGAUCGUAGCAAGUGGAAAGAAGUGGUCUCUGCCAACCCCUACGGGAAAGAGGCGUGAUUAUAUGUAUGUAUGAAUUUAUACAUAUAUAUUGAAAUGAAACUUAUAAUUUAUGUUUUAAUCAUUACAGCAUAUACAGCAUAUACAUUUCGUACAAUUAUGUAUUUGAAAAUACGAGAUGACUUUUCACACAAA
RNAcentral lists this unclassified non-coding RNA (299 nucleotides) under Melitaea cinxia (Glanville fritillary). RNAcentral's name for it is "misc RNA ENSMCXG00005009026.1". Lineage: Eukaryota; Metazoa; Arthropoda; Insecta; Lepidoptera; Nymphalidae. The record is from RNAcentral.